AGAGAGAGAGAGAGAGACAGAGAGAGAGGGCGGGCGACACAAGACCCCGCGGCCGCUCGUCCACCAGACGGGCUGUGUGUUUUGGGCCCUGUUGUCGUCUGCUACACGACGAGGGUCGUCUGUCCGUUUGAGAGGACGACUAUCCUGCGAAUGUCCCCGUCCAGCUAAACUGUGCUCAUUCGAUUCUACUAUUCAACAAUCACGGUGUGGGUGCUAUUUCCAACUAUUCGAGGAGUGGAGAACUUUUCGAAUGCUGUGUGGUUUUUACAGAAUAUGGAUUUCAUUCUCAUUUUUCUCAACCCGUCGUAACAUUAGGGUACAUAUAGUAGUAGAAAUCACUGACGUAGAUACAGCAAUACAUAGUACUUAAUGAUUAUAAGGCAGAGUGAUAAGUGAAGUCGUGGGUAUUAAACAGCGAAUAUUGUUGAUGGACUAAUAACAUUAAAAAAUAAUAAAUCUUACGCGGUAUUCGAUUAGCACGAAUAGUGACUCCACACUUCGAUGCAUCGACUUGGUUUCGUUUCGUUUCCUCAAAAUCGCACAGCGAGCGCUACCCUCCAGCCUCUCCCCCGUGUCAUUACAAGUCUUGAAGUAUAGCCCCAACAAGGACCCUUGCUCGGAUCUGACCCCGUGGAUCAGGUGAUCAGUAGUCCCACAGCAUCCCCCUCAGCAGAGAGUUCUGUUGUUUUGGCCUUAAUGACAGGUCACCAUUGAUGAUGUGACUGAUUUCAAUUACUGUCGUCUGGUGCCCUUCAGGUUCACAAAUCCCGACGACACAUCCCUAGCACAACGACGCCUGUCUGGAUACCUGUUUGGAUAUAACCCUCCGCCGAUCAUCUUCUGCUGUUCGCCGAAUCUGAAUGUCUUGACGGACGGAUUACGUUCUGGUGAAGUCAUAACGAAGUCCUCUGGCUAUAAUUCAGGCAGAAGUAGGUCUUCAUAGCGGUCUGGUGGCUUUCAUAUCUGGAGAAACAACAUAAUACUUCACUUCUAUUCCCCUCGGAGAUUUGAUGUGAUAAUAAUAAUAUUACAAUAUAAUACCAACUGGAACAUCCGUCUCUGGUCUUUAUUUUAAAAAGACAACCAAGUUUCAAUGGAUUUACUUAUCAAUUAUUUUCUAUUUUGAUAUCAGCUGAUGCGAAUCCUAGCACGAGGAAUGAACAACGGACUUACUUUCAACGCUUUAAGCUCAUAGACAGGGAUUCUCUCAUAUGAAUGGCUGCCUUUAUAAGUUCAAGGUUUCGUAGAAGUUGAUAAAUAUUGCCGUCUGAAAGGACUUAUGUUAUAACUUACUGACCUAUUAUUUUGAAACAGUUGUAUCCUGUCGCUGCUACUACGUCUUUGUAGAACACACGUUGACUUGUGCAAACUGUACAAAUUGAUUGAGUCUGAUGAUUAAGUAUUUUCUUGAAGAGUGUAACGACCACAUUUGAACGAAAACAUAGCUCUGCUUUACAGAAUGACCCUUCUGUUGAGGUAUGUUACAAUAAAUUAUCGAGUCCAAAUUUCAAGAGGAGAUCACUCCUGAUAUGUUUUCUAACAGAAGUCAUAUGUAAGGAGUGAGUUCUGCACGUAUACAUUUUCUCUAAAUCCGUGUUUCUAAUUUUGUGAAGUGUUCGCAUUAACAUUUGCUUAUUUCUAGAUCAGCAACUUAUUUUAGAAUGGCUAACAUGUGUGUGGUCGUGGUUCCAAAUAAAAUAAUGUGUCUGGUUAAACUUUCUGGACUAACAGCUGUACAGAGAAAAUUACAUGGCAUGUAUAGUACUCAACAGAACUCAUUUAGCUGGGCCUUGACAAAGAUGAACGGUCAAUUAGGAAUAACGCGAAACUUGCCAGGCUCACUAUAUGAAUUGUUCUGAUAACACAUCUUUGACGGAGUUCGAGCCCUGUCCUCAUGUACACGAGAGCAUUAAAGCAGAACACUUUCAACUUACAGAGGAGUUUACUGCACAGAGAAUGCUUGGAGCUCAGUGGAUGUGAGGAUUAAUGGCAGUCUUUCAGGGAUCUUUCCUUUACCUUUUCGAAACUAGGAUGUCCCUUUUCUCUGAAACGGCAAACAAUACAAUUGUCGGGUAAAGGACGUAAAACUUAAUCCCCCACUAUAUGGAGGCAACGUUUACACAUGAUGCGGCUCUAAAUAUUCGAGCUGAUUCGGGAAAUGGUAAAAAUCAGCUAUAUUUUUACUAUUCUUUCUGGAUUAAGCACGCCUGAGUUGCAACAAGACGAAAAAGAAACCAGUGCGCUUGUAACAAAGAAUGGAUUAUAUUCACGACGUGUUGUUGUUAUUUCAUUUUCCGGCACGUGAGUUCUGAAUAUUGCAUCAACUGCAAAGGAUAAAAAUGGUGUGUGAUGUUGCGGUUAUUAUAGAAUGUGAGCAGAGAAUAUUGUGUGAGAGUCUUACUCUCAAAUUUUGCUUUCUUCUUUUCGUGGGUGAUUUUUACAAAUGUGCUAGAAAAGCUACUUUUACUACACCGAUAGAUAUUUUAUGCAAAUUUCGUGGCAUCUAAAAAUGUGAGUAGACCUGUUUUCUUUUGUUUUCAAAAGAGAAAAUUUGAUUUUGUGAGAAUUAUAAACCGUUACUUGGAUGUAUAGAUGUACAUCGGUUUGUCAAAUUCAAUCAAAUAACACACAGCGUUGAAAAAAUAUGUUUGAAAAUCUGUGAAAUUCAAAAUGACUUCCAAACUCAAUAUCAAAACGUGAAUUCGAGAUGGAUCUACUACUGUAUGAAUUCAUCCAAAGAACGAUUGAGUGUUCUUCUAUUCUAGGAUUACCGACAUCAGCUUGGCAUCAUGAUUGUGAUUUUCUCAUUAAAAGUGAGGACGUUCACAAAACUGUAUGGAUAAAAAUGAAAACAGCAGCGUCUUGCGAAAUAAAGAAUGAAAUGCUUACGUGAAUAUGAAAAGGGCAGAUAUAAAAAGGCUCAUAUCAUUAUUAUUUCUGUUUCUAUGCAAACGUGUUAUACCAGUCUGAGGAAGAUUCACAUUCACAUUUUGCAGAACAAUUGGUGUAAAUUCUGUGCCCAGGUCUUCUUUCAAUCACAGUGACGUAUGUCACAUCAAUCAUGAUCUGUAUAACCCAGGAAAGGAAGAAAUGAAAGUGCUUCAACCCGGAGUCGUGAGUGCAGUUUCCUGUCAGUGCCACGCUUCUAGGGAAUAGUAUGAUCACGUGAUGUAGUUAUAUUUUAGUAAGAGUUUUACGAUACUUGUAACUCAAAUAGACGAUGUAAGGGAUGCAAGAGGUGUUAUUUGGAAGUAACAUAUAAAGAAAAGAAGGAGGAGAUAUAUUUCAUUAGAAAGAAAGAGCAGACCAUAUCAGAACACCCGUCAACCACACACGAUCAGAGUUGAUAAAAUCCAUGGGAAUAUAGUCCAGAAUUAGAAUCAGGAAUUAAUUAUUAUUUUCGUUUCCUCGUAACAUCACGAAAGAGACAUGCAGCUCAAAUUCAAUUUGCAGAGUCUGAAUCCUGGAAGCACUCAACUUCACCCAGGAAUGUGUGGGAGUGAUCCCCCAGUGAUACGCGCUGAGGAAUUAUUCUGUGUAGACAUCCUGCUAAUUCCUCCUUCGUGCUUCAUAUCGUUUUUACUUUUCUUUUCUAAUGUAAGUGUUAUACGUCCCCAUCAACAUACUUUAUAUUAUUAUCUCUUAAGAGGCAAGGUUUGACCCUGUAUUGAAAGGACUAACCCAGGAUGGGUUGGAUACAAAUUCCCCAGCAGAAAGACCGGGAUAUUUUAUUUAAAAACCAAA
Molecule: long non-coding RNA, 3744 nt
Filed under: Aplysia californica (California sea hare)
Lineage: Eukaryota; Metazoa; Mollusca; Gastropoda; Aplysiida; Aplysiidae
Description: uncharacterized LOC118477147
Source: RNAcentral